RNAcentral lists this ribosomal RNA (436 nucleotides) under uncultured bacterium. Its description in RNAcentral is "partial 16S ribosomal RNA". It matches the Rfam family "Bacterial small subunit ribosomal RNA", at positions 29 to 507 of the family's 1533-position model. The record is from RNAcentral.
AACGAACGCUGGCGGCAUGCCUAACACAUGCAAGUCGAACGAUGGUCUUCGGAUCAUAGUGGCGCACGGGUGCGUAACGCGUGGGAAUCUGCCCUUGGGUUCGGAAUAACAGUUGGAAACGACUGCUAAUACCGGAUGAUGUCGAUAAGACCAAAGAUUUAUCGCCCGAGGAUGAGCCCGCGUCGGAUUAGCUAGUUGGUGGGGUAAAGGCCUACCAAGGCGACGAUCCGUAGCUGGUCUGAGAGGAUGAUCAGCCACACUGGGACUGAGACACGGCCCAGACUCCUACGGGAGGCAGCAGUGGGGAAUAUUGGACAAUGGGCGCAAGCCUGAUCCAGCAAUGCCGCGUGAGUGAUGAAGGCCUUAGGGUUGUAAAGCUCUUUUACCCGGGAAGAUAAUGACUGUAUCGGGAGAAUAAGCCCCGGCUAACUCCGUG